RNAcentral lists this ribosomal RNA (202 nucleotides) under Nosema granulosis. RNAcentral describes it as "partial small subunit ribosomal RNA". It matches the Rfam family "Microsporidia small subunit ribosomal RNA", at positions 54 to 259 of the family's 1311-position model. The record is from RNAcentral. Lineage: Eukaryota; Fungi; Microsporidia; Nosematidae.
AUGUUUAUUGAAUAUAAAGAAAAGACGAACAGCUCAGUAACUCUUAUUUUAUUUGAUGUAUUAGGAUUAUAACUAUGUUAAAUUAUAGAUAACAAUAAUACAAUAAGAAUAAGAUCUAUCAGUUAGUUGUUAAGGUAAUGGCUUAACAAGACUAUGACGGAUAACGGUAUUACUUUGUAAUAUUCCGGAGAGGGAGCCUGAA